Drosophila miranda is the source of this 483-nucleotide long non-coding RNA. RefSeq lists it as uncharacterized. The record is from RefSeq and is a predicted model, not a curated record. The transcript has 3 exons. NCBI's taxonomy places the organism in Eukaryota, Metazoa, Arthropoda, Insecta, Diptera, Drosophilidae.
GGCUGAUCUGUGAGUGUACUGUCAGGUAAGUGUGAUUAGUAGAAGUAUUGGCUAUUUUGUGUUGAUGCGUGAAUUGAAUUGAUGUUUUUCUUCUUUUAGCGGCAGCCUGUGGACUGGAUGUUGUUGGCGACGGCGAUAGGGCCUUCAAAUUUCGCCCAUUUGGCAGAAAGUGGAUGGUGAAUUUGGUGUGGCAACUGCUGGAGAGGCAGCUCUAUCGGAGGCGUGGCAGCGGCAGCCUGUGGACUGGAUGUUGUUGGCGACGGCGAUAGGGCCUUCAAAUUUCGCCCAUUUGGCAGGAAUUGGAUGGUGAAUUUGGUGUGGCAACUGCUGGAGAGGCAGCUCUAUCGGAGGCGUGGCAGGUACGUAUGUUUUGUCGGCAGCCUGUGGACUGGAUGUUGUUGGCGACGGCGAUAGGGCCUUCAAAUUUCGCCCAUUUGGCAGGAAUUGGAUGGUGAAUUUGGUGUGGCAACGGCUGGAGAGGCA